RNAcentral lists this ribosomal RNA (467 nucleotides) under uncultured bacterium. Its description in RNAcentral is "partial 16S ribosomal RNA". It matches the Rfam family "Bacterial small subunit ribosomal RNA", at positions 28 to 507 of the family's 1533-position model. The record is from RNAcentral.
GACGAACGCUGGCGGCGUGCUUAACACAUGCAAGUCGAACGGAAAGGCCCUGCUUUUGUGGGGUGCUCGAGUGGCGAACGGGUGAGUAACACGUGAGUAACCUGCCCUUGACUUUGGGAUAACUUCAGGAAACUGGGGCUAAUACCGGAUAGGAGCUCCUGCUGCAUGGUGGGGGUUGGAAAGUUUCGGCGGUUGGGGAUGGACUCGCGGCUUAUCAGCUUGUUGGUGGGGUAGUGGCUUACCAAGGCUUUGACGGGUAGCCGGCCUGAGAGGGUGACCGGCCACAUGGGGACUGAGAUACGGCCCAGACUCCUACGGGAGGCAGCAGUGGGGAAUAUUGCACAAGGGGCGGAAGCCUGAUGCAGCAACGCCGCGUGCGGGAUGACGGCCUUCGGGUUGUAACCGCUUUCGCCUGUGACGAAGCGUGAGUGACGGUAAUGGGUAAAGAAGCACCGGCUAACUACGUG